This 65-nucleotide transfer RNA is filed under the name Helotrephes sp. NKMT027. Its description in RNAcentral is "tRNA-Leu". The record is from RNAcentral. Lineage: Eukaryota; Metazoa; Arthropoda; Insecta; Hemiptera; Helotrephidae. RNAcentral also lists the same sequence under 2 other names.
ACUAUUUUGUCAGAUAUAUGUAUUGAUUUUAGAGUUCAAUUAUGCAAUUUUUAUUGCAAAUAGUA